UGCGCCUUGCCAGCCCGCUCAGAAACUCAAAUGAAUUGGACGGGGGCCCGCACAAGCAGCGGAGCGUGUGGGUUUAAUUCGAUGAUACGCGAAGAACCUCACCCAGGUUUGACAUGCAUGUGGUACCAAGGUGAAAGCUGAGGGACCCUUCGGGGAGCAUGCACAGGUGUUGCACGGCCGUCGUCAGCUCGUGCCGUGAGGUGUUGGGUUAAGUCCCGCAACGAGCGCAACCCCUGUCGCCAGUUGUAUUUUUCUGGCGAGACUGCCGAGAAAACCUCGGAGGAAGGAGGGGACGAUGUCAGGUCAGCGUGGCCCUUACGCCUGGGGCUACACACACGCUACAAUGGGCAGUACAACGGGUCGCGAAGCCGCGAGGUGGAGCCAAUCCCAUCAAAGCUGUCCUCAGUUCGGAUUGCAGGCUGAAACCCGCCUGCAUGAAGCCGGAGUUGCUAGUAACCGCAGGUCAGCAUUACUGCGGUGAAUACGUUCCCGGGCCUU
Molecule: ribosomal RNA, 498 nt
Filed under: uncultured Chloroflexota bacterium
Lineage: Bacteria; Bacillati; Chloroflexota
Description: bacterial SSU rRNA
Rfam family: Bacterial small subunit ribosomal RNA
Source: RNAcentral